AAGGGACCUAGCGUAGUUCGGAUUUACUGGGCUUAAAGAGUUCGUAGGUGGUUGAAAAAGUUGGUGGUGAAAUCCCAGAGCUUAACUCUGGAACUGCCAUCAAAACUUCUCAGCUAGAGUAUGAUAGAGGAAAGCAGAAUUUCUAGUGUAGAGGUGAAAUUCGUAGAUGUUAGAAAGAAUACCAAUUGCGAAGGCAGCUUUCUGGAUCAUUACUGACACUGAGGAACGAAAGCAUGGGUAGCGAAGAGGAUUAGAUACCCUCGUAGUCCAUGCCGUAAACGAUGUGUGUUAGACGUUGGAAAUUUAUUUUCAGUGUCGCAGCGAAAGCGAUAAACACACCGCCUGGGGAGUACGACCGCAAGGUUAAAACUCAAAUGAAUUGACGGGGACCCGCACAAGUAGUGGAGCAUGUGGUUUAAUUCGAAGAUACGCGCAGAACCUUACCAACACUUGACAUGUUCGUCGCGACUCUAAGAGAUUAGAGUUUUCGGUUCGGCCGGACGAAACACAGGUGCUGCAUGGCUGUCGUCAGCUCGUGUCGUGAGAUGUUGGGUUAAGUCCCGCAACGAGCGCAACCCUCACUUUUAGUUGCCAUCAUUAAGUUGGGCACUCUGAAAGAACUGCCAGUGAUAAGCUGGAGGAAGGUGGGGAUGACGUCAAGUCCUCAUGGCCCUUACGUGUUGGGCUACACACGUGCUACAAUGGUAUCUACAACAGGAAGCAAGACUGCGAAGUUAAGCAAAUCCCUAAAAGAUACCUCAGUUCGGAUUGCACUCUGCAACUCGAGUGCAUGAAGCUGGAAUUACUAGUAAUCGUAGAUCAGCGUGCUACGGUGAAUGCGUUCCCGGGUCUUGUACACACCGCCCGUCACACCAUGGGAGUUGGUUCUACCUUAAGGCAAGGUUUUAAACCCUUGACCACGGUAUAGUCAGCGACUGGGGUGAAGUCGUAACAAGGUAGCCGUAGGGGAACCUGCGGCUGGAUUACCUCCUUUCUAAGGAUGAGUGAUAGAGAAAAAUAUCAUUCUAAAUAAUAUACAUCGGUAAUGUUGACCGUCCUCAUUUCUCUUCUUAAAGUAAUGUUUCCUUCUUGUAGGGCCGGUAGCUCAGUUGGUUAGAGCACACCCUUGUUAAGGGUGGGGUCGAAAGUUCGAGUCUUUCUCGGCCCACCAAUAACCUAGAUGGGGGAUUAGCUCAUCUGGGAGAGCGCCUGAUUUGCAUUCAGGAGGUAGCAGGUUCGAUCCCUGUAUCCUCCACCAGGAAACAUUUAGUUAUUAAAACUGUAAAUAAAAAUAAUUUAUAUCAAUAUCUAUAUCCGAACAUUAAAAGUUAUUAUUUAAUGUUCAAAAUAAAAAUUUGAUCACAACAUAGAUAAAUUUUCUGUUAAAAGAAUUUUUUUCUGUGCAUAAAUCAAGCGUUUAAGGGCGUGUAGUGGAUGCCUUGGCACUGAAAGCCGAUGAAGGACGUGAUAUACUGCGAUAAAUUUCGGGGAGCUGUAUGUAAGUUUUGAUCCGAAAAUUU
Molecule: small RNA, 1520 nt
Filed under: uncultured Arctic sea ice bacterium
Lineage: Bacteria
Description: bacterial SSU rRNA
Rfam family: Bacterial small subunit ribosomal RNA (bases 1-994)
Source: RNAcentral